GACGAACGCUGGCGGCGUGCUUAACACAUGCAAGUCGAACGGAAAGGCCCCUUUGGGGGUACUCGAGUGUCGAACGGGUGAGUAACACGUGAGUAACCUGCCCUUGACUUCGGGAUAACUUCAGGAAACUGGGGCUAAUACCGGAUAGGAAUCCUUGCUGCAUGGUGGGGGUUGGAAAGCUUCGGCGGUUUUGGAUGGACUCGCGGCUUAUCAGCUUGUUGGUGGGGUAGUGGCUUACCAAGGCUUUGACGGGUAGCCGGCCUGAGAGGGCGACCGGCCACAUUGGGACUGAGAUACGGCCCAGACUCCUACGGGAGGCAGCAGUGGGGAAUAUUGCACAAUGGGCGGAAGCCUGAUGCAGCAACGCCGCGGGCGGGAUGACGGCCUUCGGGUUGUAAACCGCUUUCAGCAGGGGCGAAGCUUGUGGUGACGGUACCUGCAGAAGAAGCACCGGCUAACUACGUG
This 465-nucleotide ribosomal RNA is filed under the name uncultured bacterium. RNAcentral's name for it is "partial 16S ribosomal RNA". It matches the Rfam family "Bacterial small subunit ribosomal RNA", at positions 28 to 507 of the family's 1533-position model. The record is from RNAcentral.